GUUAGCAUGACUUAAUGCCCCAAUGCCCAUGCUUUAGCAAACAUCUAGAAUGUAAUCUUAAUGCAUCUUAGUUAUUGAGUCUUCGCAAAGGGCAUUUGGAAGAUAGGUAAUUAAGGUAGACUUGUCAUCAUGAGGCAUCAGGGGCAAGUAGAUGGAUAGAUGUGGGGCAGAAUUAGUUCACUGGUAUUGAUAACAGAUAAAUCCUGAAUCCAUAUAUCUAGGCUAAUUAGACUUGUCAGGUUUUAGCAAUUUUAAU
Molecule: long non-coding RNA, 256 nt
Filed under: Glycine max (soybean)
Lineage: Eukaryota; Viridiplantae; Streptophyta; Magnoliopsida; Fabales; Fabaceae
Description: long non-coding RNA (GMAX_LNC001975)
Source: RNAcentral